GGGCUCGUAGAUCAGUGGAAGAUCGCUUCGUUCGCAACGAAGAGGCCGCGGGUUCAAAUCCCGCCGAGUCCA
Molecule: transfer RNA, 72 nt
Filed under: Nanobdellati archaeon
Lineage: Archaea; Nanobdellati
Description: tRNA-Ala
Rfam family: tRNA
About the family: Transfer RNA (tRNA) molecules are approximately 80 nucleotides in length. Their secondary structure includes four short double-helical elements and three loops (D, anti-codon, and T loops).
Source: RNAcentral